CCUACGGGAGGCAGCAGUGAGGAAUAUUGGACAAUGGGCGCAAGCCUGAUCCAGCCAUGCCGCGUGCAGGAUGACGGUCCUAUGGAUUGUAAACUGCUUUUAUACGAGAAGAAACACUCCGACGUGUCGGAGCUUGACGGUAUCGUAAGAAUAAGGAUCGGCUAACUCCGUGCCAGCAGCCGCGGUAAUACGGAGGAUCCAAGCGUUAUCCGGAAUCAUUGGGUUUAAAGGGUCCGUAGGCGGUUUAAUAAGUCAGUGGUGAAAGCCCAUCGCUCAACGGUGGAACGGCCAUUGAUACUGUUAAACUUGAAUUAUUAGGAAGUAACUAGAAUAUGUAGUGUAGCGGUGAAAUGCUUAGAGAUUACAUGGAAUACCAAUUGCGAAGGCAGGUUACUACUAAUUGAUUGACGCUGAUGGACGAAAGCGUGGGUAGCGAACAGGAUUAGAUACCCUGGUAGUCCACGCCGUAAACGAUGGAUACUAGCUGUUGGGAGCAAUCUCAGUGGCUAAGCGAAAGUGAUAAGUAUCCCACCUGGGGAGUACGUUCGCAAGAAUGAAAACUCAAAAGUAAGUAGUUACGGACGUCGUAGACGAGUACCGAACCGGAACGGACCGAACCGACCGGGGAAGGGGUUAAGGGAGGGGAG
Molecule: ribosomal RNA, 647 nt
Filed under: uncultured bacterium
Lineage: Bacteria
Description: bacterial SSU rRNA
Rfam family: Bacterial small subunit ribosomal RNA
Source: RNAcentral